RNAcentral lists this non-coding RNA (45 nucleotides) under Schistosoma curassoni. Lineage: Eukaryota; Metazoa; Platyhelminthes; Trematoda; Strigeidida; Schistosomatidae. The record is from RNAcentral.
ACCCAGUUGACGAGUCCCAAAUAGGAAGAAACGCGCGUCUUGGAU